This 462-nucleotide ribosomal RNA is filed under the name uncultured bacterium. RNAcentral describes it as "partial 16S ribosomal RNA". It matches the Rfam family "Bacterial small subunit ribosomal RNA", at positions 28 to 507 of the family's 1533-position model. The record is from RNAcentral.
GACGAACGCUGGCGGCGUGCUUAACACAUGCAAGUCGAGCGGUAAGGCCUUUCGGGGUACCCGAGCGGCGAACGGGUGAGUAACACGUGGGUGAUCUGCCCUGCACUUCGGGAUAAGCCUGGGAAACUGGGUCUAAUACCGGAUAUGACCUCCUAUCGCAUGGUGGGUGGUGGAAAGAUUUAUCGGUGCAGGAUGGGCCCGCGGCCUAUCAGCUUGUUGGUGGGGUAAUGGUCUACCAAGGCGACGACGGGUAGCCGACCUGAGAGGGUGACCGGCCACACUGGGACUGAGACACGGCCCAGACUCCUACGGGAGGCAGCAGUGGGGAAUAUUGCACAAUGGGCGAAAGCCUGAUGCAGCGACGCCGCGUGAGGGAUGACGGCCUUCGGGUUGUAAACCUCUUUCAGCAGGGACGAAGCGCAAGUGACGGUACCUGCAGAAGAAGCACCGGCUAACUACGUG